This 709-nucleotide ribosomal RNA is filed under the name uncultured bacterium. Its description in RNAcentral is "bacterial SSU rRNA". It matches the Rfam family "Bacterial small subunit ribosomal RNA", at positions 64 to 773 of the family's 1533-position model. The record is from RNAcentral.
CGACGGUGAAGAGGAGCUUGCUCCUUGGAUCAGUGGCGAACGGGUGAGUAACACGUGAGCAAUCUGCCCUUGACUCUGGGAUAACUGCGGGAAACUGUAGCUAAUACCGGAUAUUACCUUGGAAGGCAUCUUCUGGGGUGGAAAGAAUUUUGGUCAAGGAUGAGCUCGCGGCCUAUCAGCUAGUUGGUGAGGUAAUGGCUCACCAAGGCGACGACGGGUAGCCGGCCUGAGAGGGUGACCGGCCACACUGGGACUGAGACACGGCCCAGACUCCUACGGGAGGCAGCAGUGGGGAAUAUUGCACAAUGGGCGCAAGCCUGAUGCAGCAACGCCGCGUGAGGGACGAAGGCCUUCGGGUUGUAAACCUCUUUUAGUAGGGAAGAAGCGACUGGGUUUUCCUGGAAGUGACGGUACCUGCAGAAAAAGCACCGGCUAACUACGUGCCAGCAGCCGCGGUAAUACGUAGGGUGCAAGCGUUGUCCGGAAUUAUUGGGCGUAAAGAGCUCGUAGGCGGUUUGUCGCGUCUGCUGUGAAAACCCGAGGCUCAACCUCGGGCCUGCAGUGGGUACGGGCAGACUAGAGUGCGGUAGGGGAGAUUGGAAUUCCUGGUGUAGCGGUGGAAUGCGCAGAUAUCAGGAGGAACACCAAUGGCGAAGGCAGAUCUCUGGGCCGUAACUGACGCUGAGGAGCGAAAGCAUGGGGAGCGAAC